Molecule: ribosomal RNA, 392 nt
Filed under: uncultured bacterium
Lineage: Bacteria
Description: partial 16S ribosomal RNA
Rfam family: Bacterial small subunit ribosomal RNA
Source: RNAcentral
AUACGAAGGAUCCGAGCGUUAUCCGGAUUUAUUGGGUUUAAAGGGUGCGCAGGCGGCCAUUUAAGUCAGCGGUUAAAUCGUGGGGCUCAACCCCAUUCUGCCGUUGAUACUGGGUGGCUUGAUUGCGGUCGAGGUUGGCGGAAUUCGUUGUGUAGCGGUGAAAUGCAUAGAUAUGACGAAGAACACCGAUUGCGUAGGCAGCUGACCAGACCGCAAAUGACGCUCAUGCACGAAAGUGCGGGGAUCGAACAGGAUUAGAUGCCCUGGUAGUCCGCACAGUAAACGAUGAAUACUUGUUUUCGGCGAUAUAAUGUCGGAGGCAAAGCGAAAGCGAUAAGUAUUCCACCUGGGGAGUACGCCGGCAACGGUGAAACUCAAAUGAAUUGACGGGG